CUACGGGGGGCAGCAGUGGGGAAUAUUGGACAAUGGGGGAAACCCUGAUCCAGCAAUGCCGCGUGUGAAGAAGGCCUGCGGGUUGUAAAGCACUUUCGGUUGGGAGGACUGCUUCUAGCACUAAUAUUGUUGGAAGUUGACGUUACCUUCAGAAGAAGCACCGGCUAACUCCGUGCCAGCAGCCGCGGUAAUACGGAGGUUGCAAGCGUUAAUCGGAAUUACUGGGCGUAAAGCGCGCGUAGGCGGCUAGAUCAGUCGGGUGUGAAAGCCCCGGGCUUAACCUGGGAACUGCAUCCGAUACUGUCUAGCUUGAGUACAGGAGAGGAGAGUGGAAUUCCACAUGUAGCGGUGAAAUGCGUAGAUAUGUGGAGGAACACCAAUGGCGAAGGCAGCUCUCUGGCCUGAUACUGACGCUGAGGUGCGAAAGCGUGGGGAGCAAACAGGAUUAGAUACCCCGGUAGUC
RNAcentral lists this ribosomal RNA (463 nucleotides) under uncultured bacterium. RNAcentral describes it as "partial 16S ribosomal RNA". It matches the Rfam family "Bacterial small subunit ribosomal RNA", at positions 339 to 795 of the family's 1533-position model. The record is from RNAcentral.